RNAcentral lists this long non-coding RNA (755 nucleotides) under Zea mays. The record is from RNAcentral. Lineage: Eukaryota; Viridiplantae; Streptophyta; Magnoliopsida; Poales; Poaceae.
CAGAAGGUACCAAGCUAGUAGGUGACAAGCAGAGGAGAAGCCUUACAUGUCAAUAAGGGCCUACCUCUGAUAGCCAAGGAUGACUUGCCUAUGUCCUUUGUUUACAAAGGACCUGAAUGUGUGGACCAUUGAGAGGUUCAUAGGCAGUCUCCUUGGCUAGCCUGAGUGGCCCCUAUUGCUCAUGCUAGGCUUAAUCGAGACUCUUUGACUUGGUGCACGCAAUUAGACACAGGAGUCUCCUCGACUUGUGCAUGGGCGUGCAUGCAAUUAGACACGACCUUGUCAUAUGUAGCUGUGUUUCAGUGUCCAUGCAUGCUCCAUUCCUAGCAUUUUCUUGAAAGGCCAAUAUAGCUUGGCAGUUUCUCUGGAAAGAAUCAGCAUCAAACAAUGUUCUUGACCAGAUGUUUUGAUAUUGCUUACGCCGCACAAUAUAAUACGGAUCGAUAGUAUGACCAGCAUUCUGAAAGAGCAUCCAGCAGGGUUCGAGCCUGAGUGGGUGCGUGGCCACAGCCUCCUUGACAGUAAACCUCUCUGGACUCUCAGCUUUGCUAUUUCAGUCACAUGAACUUUCUUAUCUUUCAGCUUCAGCAGAUUGAUCUCUAAACCUGGAAACUUCUGCAAGAACAUAUACCUCAUGAUUGGUUGCGUUGACCAGCCCUCAACUUCUGAUUGGAUAUCUGCAGGCUUUGUUGCAUGUAUGGAGAUUGGAGAAGCAGGGAAGCCGCGUUUGCGGCAGGUCAGGCCGAGCCAUGCGC